AGCAUUUCCCUCACUAAAUAUGCUGCAGAGCCCUAUCUACCUUCUCAACAUUAACACCCAGCAACCAGGAGAGGAGAGAGGCCUGGGGAAGACAGCCACCACCAAGUACACAAAGGUUGAAAGAGGACGUUUGUGGGAAGUAGACAUUUGUGAAUGUGGAUUUAGAAGAUUUUUCCCUGUGAUGAGCUGAGUCAUGGGUGAGAGCUGGAGAAAACAGAGUCUUCUCAAUGCGAAGAUGAUGAGAAUGGAGACUUUUAUGAUGAUCCACUUCCACUUAAUGAAUAGAGUUCCUGGUUGUUACACUUAAAUUGAUCCAAGAGAGGGUAUUUCUUUUUCUGGAGGCCAAUUGAAUGGUGAAAUGGAGUUGCAAAGCAUUUGGCAGCAUAUUGAUUUCACUGGACUAUUUAAGUCCUGUGAAGAGGUGCCUUCCACGAUGAUUGUAAGUUUCCUGAGGCCUCCCCAGCCAUGCAGAACUCCACCUGCUUCCCUACACCAAACUGCUGCGGCUUCAACCUCUGGGCAGGCCACCCCUCGGAGGAUAAUUUCUUCCCACUGCUGGGGCUCUCUCUGACACUGUGACAGCAAGGCCCUCCCGGGUGAGCUUCCCCCAACCUCGGGCUCCCACAGCUGCCCGUUCUCCGCUGUCAGAACAGGCGCCUGCCUUGCUGUAGCUCACAGUGGGGUAGAAUUAGGCUUGAGUUAUUCAGCACAGGAAGGAUAGGGAGGAGGAAGAGAAAGAGGAGAAGCAAGACCUAUUGAGCAGUUUUAAGUAGCAGGACAAAUUAAGAAAUAUGGAGCUUUCAGUUCCAAUUUGAUUGCUCCUCAAAAAACUCCUUGGUGGCCGGGCGCGGUGGCUCACGCCUGUAAUCCCAGCACUUUGGGAGGCCGAGGCGGGCGGAUCACGAGGUCAGGAGAUCGAGACCAUCCCGGCUAAAAACGGUGAAACCCCGUCUCUACUAAAAAUACAAAAAAUUAGCCGGGCGUAGUGGCGGGCGCCUGUAGUCCCAGCUACUCGGGAGGCUGAGGCAGGAGAAUGGUGUGAACCCGGGAGGCGGAGCUUGCAGUGAGCCGAGAUCCCGCCACUGCACUCCAGCCUGGGCGACAGAGCGAGACUCCGUCUCAAAAAACAAACAAACAAACAAACAAACAAACAAAAAACUCCUUGGCAUCUCUUUGGUUGUAGAAGCUGAAGGGCUACAGCUGACUUCAGCUAGUGGAGCAUGAAAUGGCCUCUUGCUUCCUAAUGGGCUGAGGGGCUAGGAUCAGGUACAGCAAAACACUACUUGGGUUUCUCUUAAAGGGAUGUGGAUUUUGAAGAGGUUCAAAGCAUUAGUUACUUACGUUAUUUCCAAUUUUUCCUUGAUGAGUAAUGCUUCGAUGAACAUUCCUGUAAAAAGUAUAUGAUAGUUUCCUUAGGAUCCAUUUCUAGAAUUGAAAUAAAUUGCUGGUUGAAACACUGAAUAAUUUUAAAGCUACACAUAUACAUGCAGAUACAUACAUACGCACACACACACAAAACUGUCCUAAAAGUAAACUAGCUUUUUACCAUAUGUAAUAUAUAUAGUAAAGCAAAGAAAUACAAGAACCAUCUUAUAACACAAAGAGAAGAAUCAUAUACCUAUAUAUCUGUACCUCUACAUAUCACAUACAUAGGUUUACUCAGGAUAUCUAGAAGCAUGCCUAACACAG
Molecule: long non-coding RNA, 1689 nt
Organism: Homo sapiens (human)
Lineage: Eukaryota; Metazoa; Chordata; Mammalia; Primates; Hominidae
Source: Ensembl